This 483-nucleotide ribosomal RNA is filed under the name uncultured bacterium. RNAcentral's name for it is "partial 16S ribosomal RNA". It matches the Rfam family "Bacterial small subunit ribosomal RNA", at positions 30 to 507 of the family's 1533-position model. The record is from RNAcentral.
UUGCACGCUGGCGGCAGGCCUCACCCCUGCCAGUCGAGCGGAUGAGGGGAGCUUGCUCCUGGAUUCAGCGGCGGACGGGUGAGUAAUGCCUAGGAAUCUGCCUGGUAGUGGGGGAUAACGUCCGGAAACGGGCGCUAAUACCGCAUACGUCCUGAGGGAGAAAGUGGGGGAUCUUCGGACCUCACGCUAUCAGAUGAGCCUAGGUCGGAUUAGCUAGUUGGUGGGGUAAAGGCCUACCAAGGCGACGAUCCGUAACUGGUCUGAGAGGAUGAUCAGUCACACUGGAACUGAGACACGGUCCAGACUCCUACGGGAGGCAGCAGUGGGGAAUAUUGGACAAUGGGCGAAAGCCUGAUCCAGCCAUGCCGCGUGUGUGAAGAAGGUCUUCGGAUUGUAAAGCACUUUAAGUUGGGAGGAAGGGCAGUAAGUUAAUACCUUGCUGUUUUGACGUUACCAACAGAAUAAGCACCGGCUAACUUCGUG